This 1638-nucleotide ribosomal RNA is filed under the name Aphelenchoides sp. 12Asp. RNAcentral's name for it is "SSU rRNA". It matches the Rfam family "Eukaryotic small subunit ribosomal RNA". Lineage: Eukaryota; Metazoa; Nematoda; Chromadorea; Rhabditida; Aphelenchoididae. The record is from RNAcentral.
CAUGUCUAAGAUGAGUAUCAAACAACGAAUCUGCGAACGGCUCAUUACAACAGAUAUAAUUUACUUGUUCGAUCCCUUAAACGGAUAACUGAGGUAAUUCUUGAGCUAAUACGUGCCCAAAGCCGCGGACUUCACGUCUGCGGUGCACUUAUCCUCGCAAAACCUUUCCUGGUACACUGCUAACUCUGGAUAACCCACGCUUACCAACAUGUAUUUGUUGGAGUUACAUUCAAGUAUCUGCCCUAUCAACUAGCCGUUAGUGUAUUGGACUAACGGGGUGUUAACGGGUAACGGAGAAUCAGGGUUUGACUCCGGAGAGGGAGCCUUAGAAACGGCUACCAUGUCUAAGGACAGCAGCAGGCGCGCAACUUAUCCACUGUUCAUAGAACGAGAUAGUGACGAGAAAUAACAAGCCUGUUCUCUAUGAGGUCAGGCAUUGGAAUGGACCGAAUCUAAACCUUUCGGUGAGUAUCAAUAAGAGGGCAAGUCUGGUGCCAGCAGCCGCGGUAAUUCCAGCUCUUAUAAUGUAUAGAAUUAUUGUUGCGGUUAAAAAGUUCGUAGUUGGAUUUCAUACUUGUCGGGGUCGGGGUUAACGCCCCGUACUCGGGCAAGUUUUUCGGCUGCUGCGUCGCAAGACGGGGCGUCGGGAUUACUUUGAACGGCUUAAGUGCUCAAGGCGAGUCUUCGGACUGAAUACCGGUGCAUGGAAUAAUGGAACAAGGUCUUGACCGAGUUUUAUUGGUUUUGUCGGCUAAGACAAUGGUUAACAGGAACAGCCGUGGGCACUUGUAUCGCUGCGCGAGAGGUGAAAUUCGUGGACCGCAGCGAGACACACGAAAGCGAAGGCAUUUGCCAAGAGUGUUUUCAUUAAUCAAGAACGAAAGUCAGAGGUUCGAAGACGAUUAGAUACCGCCCUAGUUCUGACCGUAAACGAUGCCAACUAUCAAUCCGCCAGUGGCUUUCAGUCAUUGGCGGGCGGAUCGACGGAAACGAGAGUUUUUCGGUUCCGGGGGAAGUAUGGUUGCAAAGCUGAAACUUAAAGGAAUUGACGGAAGGGCACCACCAGGAGUGGAGCUUGCGGCUUAAUUUGACUCAACACGGGAAACCUCACCCGGCCAGUACAUCAUAAGGAUUGACAGAUUGAAAGCUCUUUCAUGAUUUGAUGAAUGGUGGUGCAUGGCCGUUCUUAGUUCGUGGCGUGAGUCGUCUGCUUAAUUGCGAUAACGAGCGAGACUCCGAUUGCUAAAUAGGGUGCAAAUCCUCUCGUUUGCCACCCUUCUUAGCGAGAUUCGCAACUCCAAGUUGCAAGAAAUGGAGCAAUAACAGGUCUGUGAUGCCCUUAGAUGUUCGGGGCCGCACGCGUGCUACAAUGAUGGUAACAGCGUGAUUGUCCUCGCCCGACAGGGCUUGGCAAACAGUUGAGAUAUUAUUAUGGCUGGAAUUGAGUGUUGAAAUUUUCUCUCAUGAACGAGGAAUUCCAAGUAAAUGCGAGUCAUCAACUUGCAUUGAUUACGUCCCUGCCCUUUGUACACACCGCCCGUCGCUACCCGGGACUGAGUUGUUUCGAGAAAUCUACGGACCUAGCCGCCUCGGCGGCCGGGAAAGUAAAUUAAUCGCAAUGGCUUGAACCGGGUAAAA